Lolium perenne is the source of this 3170-nucleotide long non-coding RNA. RefSeq lists it as uncharacterized. NCBI's taxonomy places the organism in Eukaryota, Viridiplantae, Streptophyta, Magnoliopsida, Poales, Poaceae. The record is from RefSeq and is a predicted model, not a curated record.
GUAGAUGUAGGUGGCGGCAGUUCCGGACUUGGCCGGUUCCGUGUGGUGGGCCCGAUUCAGUCUCCUUCGUUCCCACGGAAGGCAGUCUUGAUCCCAAACAAGCGAGGAUGCCCGCCGUCGUCGCCGCUCAGUCCGGCCGUCCCCCAUCUCUGCGGGUCAUCGCCUCCGUCCCGUCCGAGGCCUGCGAGAUCGGGCGCCUGCCUGAGGAGUGAGGAGCUCCUCUCGGAGACGCUCGCCCGCACCUCCACGCGCGACGCCUGCCGCGCCGCGGCCGACUCCGACUCCGUCUGGCCUGCUUCCUGCCCCGCGUCCUCCCGCCGCUCGCCGCCGCGCAAGAAGGACCUCUUCCUCCGCCUCACCGACUGCCCCGUUCUCCUCCCGGACAAACGUGUGUGGAUCAGGCCUGAUCUCGCCUCGGUCUCUCUUCCCUGCCCUUCCGUAGCGGUGCCGCCAUAAUCCUCGAUGCAGCUGGAUUGGCUGUGGUCGUCUUUGGGCCAUGGAUCCUCACCAGGGUCGUCAUCAUCUUCUUUCGCCUCAGGACGCGGCAAGUGCUUCUCCUCCUCCAUGAACGGCUAGUGUAGAAGCUCGCCUCUGUAUCCAGAACUCCUCAUCUGUCGUCAUUCAGGUAUGCAAGUUCAAUAACCAUUUCUCAAAUCAACAACACUGAGAUAUCUUACCACUGAUUGAUUUACAUCAUGUCGCUAAAUCAAAGAUUAUAUGCCUUCUAAAAGACAGCAUUCAGAUUUUCACACAUAGAAAACCAAAUAGCUGAGACAUGUGUUUCAAAUGUUGCGGAUCGAUGAAUGUUUGCAAUGUGACAAAUCAUUGGAGUAGAAGUUGGAAUGCGAGAAAUUAUUUGUAUGCUAGGUAAUGAUAUUUUAUAUCGAUGUUCAAGCUCCAAGGACUGAUUCUAUUGUUGAUGUUUAUCUACCGCAGAUUUUGUCCACGAGUUUGGAGAAUCAUGAUCAGGAUGAAAUUUGAAUAUUUGUAUCAAUUUAGGAUGUUGGUAAAAUGAUCUUACCAGAUACAAGUAGUAGUUUUUCCUACUAAAGUUAAAAAUUUCCAUUUUGUAUAGCUUGCAUUAAGUAUAUUUGUGACACACUUUCAUUCGUGGCAUAACAAAAUAUCAAUGUAAGGAAGUAAACCAAGAAACUAAAUGUGAAUAUCAAAAGCAAGUACAAUACUGAGGAUGAUGUUGGUGGAGAAUUUGAUUACACUUUUAGUUUCCUCCAUCUGGACAAGUUUAAAAAAGAUUACUCAAAUUUUGGCUGCAUGAUUGACCUUAUUAGGGAAUUCCACUAUUUAGUACAUAAUAUACUGUUUAAUAUGCCGAUUGGUGUAUGUAAACUGCUUGGGCAUUUAUGAUUGUUUACCAUCGUAGUAUUGCCGACCAUGGCACAGAGUUUCAGUAACAAAGAUGCAUAGAUUCAUAAUUUCAGUAGCAGUAUUGUACUCAUGUUAAGAUUGUUGUCUCUCCGCUCUUAAUAUGUCUGAUCCAUAUAUACUUCUAUUCAUGGUAUAUCCACUACGUUUCAGUAACAAAGACGCAUAGAUUCAUAAUUUCAGUAGCAGUAUGUAAUUUUGUGGCUUAAUUAUUUCUGGACUAAUUAACGAUUAAUAAUUUCAUUGUGAAACAUUCCUCUUCUCAUAUUCCUGCCAUAUCUGCACCUUCUCUGUGUCAUGUGUCAGUACCAAAAGAUGUUGCUUCCAUGUUAAUAAGCUCUUAUCUUGCGAUUGAAUCUGUGUCAGUUUACACAUUCUGUCACAUGAGAUCAGUUAUUUAGUUUAUUCAGUUAGAUAUAAAUAUUUAUCAUUGCACUAUUAUUUAACAGUCUAUACUAAGGGAAAUAGAAGUACUAACUACUUACUUGGAUUAACUAUGCAAAUCGCUGAAAUGGCACCAUUUCUUUCUUAGUAGAAUCACUUAAAUGCCUCCUCCAGUUGUAAGGAGGUUCUUGCUUUUUUAUUAUUCACACAAUCUAUCCCACCAAGAUUAAUACUAUUCAUGCUAGCAGGCCUUACAAGAUUAAAGUGAAAUCUCUUAUAUUAUUCAGAACAUUUAUGUAUGAUUGUUGGUUGUUAAUCACUAUAUGAAACUAUUAUAUUGUUUAGUAUUUUCGCGGCCAAAGAGACACACAUGCUACAGUAGAAAUAAUUUUGAUACUUUUAUGUACUUACAGGUUAGUGGGGAAUGGAACAUGCCCUGAAGUUUGCAUUUCCAGCUAGUCAUACAUCAUUAUUAAAUUUGCAUGUGCAUAGUUUUACCUCAUCUAUAAAUCUGUGACUGAUGAUAUGCGGUAAUUGUUGUAUAUUUUUUCAUAAUAGCAUGCUACAGCCAUAAUAUCUUUGUAAGGCACAUAUAGUUUUUAUUUCCAUAUGCAAAUACCGUUCAAAGCAAUAUAUAUAUUUCUAUUCUUUUAUUGAUCGUAUAACCAUCUGACAAGCAUAUAACUCAAUUAAAAGAUGUAAUUUAAGGAAAUUUAUAGAAAAAAGAUGAUAAUUGAAUAAAAUGAGUGAUUUACUGUAUAUCAAAUGUUACCAUGAAUAUAUUAUAUUCAAUAAUUUACUAAAAUAUAUAGAAGCAUAAAGAAAAGUAAGAGAUAAAAAGAAUGAAAUGCAAAAAUGGCAUGGUCUCCUGACAUAGGCUUGCACACUCCGCCGCCUCUGCCUACCUCGGUAUGUGUGCAUGUGAUGGAUCUCAUGUUGGUUUGGUCUGCUAAGUGCCGGUGCUGAAAGCUUUUUUUUUGCUGCAGGUCCAUGUAGUAAUGAUCCAGAUUUUCAUUCGGGAAAUCAUUCUGAGAAAAAUGAAGAGGCAGUUAUUCCCAUAUGGUGCUGAGAAGUUAGGGAAGAAGGUGUGGUGAAUUUGUGAUACAUGCCUUUGUAGUAUCACUAUAUGCGUUUUUUCCCCAGUUGUGCGAUUCCUGACUUGGUCAUAACUGUAUUAUCAAAAUGUGUGGAACUCCAAGUAGCUGCUCUUUCAUUUUUUUUUUUCGAAACAGCUGCUCUUUCAUUGGAGCAAGUUGCAUCAGAAAGACGUUUGCUGCAUCCUCAGGAUGGGUGUGCUCUUGUGUUUUGUCUGUGCGUCAUCGUCAUAUCGUCAUGUAGUAUAUAUGAAGCCGAACCUGAUAUGUUGUUUAGGUCGAUGUGCAAGUAUGCUACCUGAACACUCU